Folsomia candida is the source of this 2746-nucleotide long non-coding RNA. RefSeq lists it as uncharacterized. NCBI's taxonomy places the organism in Eukaryota, Metazoa, Arthropoda, Collembola, Entomobryomorpha, Isotomidae. The record is from RefSeq and is a predicted model, not a curated record. The transcript has 3 exons.
UCCAAUCAACCAAAAAAUCGAUUGGAACAAAAAUGCAAUCUACACAAUUUAUCCGACAUAUCAGAAGAUUACCAACUUAACACUUCCAUUCAACGACACCGCCACCUAAGCUACUAAUCUGCAAUCUGCAUAAACUUGUCACCAAGUUUUUACCAUUCAGACCUUCGCUCGCCCAAAAAAAUCUUGUUCACCAACUCCUCCUGGUCAACAAUACAGUAUUUUUUGUAAAAAAAACCAUAUGUAUUACAAAGAGAUGCAAUCUACCAAACAUCACAUUAGCAUGAAAGCCUCCGCCUCCUUCUGAAGUUAGUUUCAUCACAAUUUUUUUUGUAUUAUCAGGGUUACUCCUGAAAAACACAUACAAUCGAAUAAUGAAAUACAGAGAGAGGACAGCUUCACAUUUAUUUUCUGCGUAUAGAAAAGUCCAUUCGACUUUUGACAAACAAAGGGGAAAAAUAAUAUAUUUAUUUCCAGCCUACAGGCUAGAUUUCAAUUUGGCUCACCUCUUUUCAUCUUCAAGAUGAACAACAAAUUGAAACCGAAUCCGAAAUGUUAUUUGAUGUCCAUUCUGUUUGAUGUAUGUAGGUAAAAAUAGGUAAAAUUGAAUGUUUUUGUGGCAAAACAUGCAAUUCAUAUAUGAAUCUUGAGGUUGGACGACUUCUCGAAAUGUCCAAACAAUAUUAAACAAAUGGCAAUAUUACGAGCUGCCCUGCCCUUUCUGAAAAUAUAAAACUGUGGAUGUUGUGUAUUGUGCAAAUUGGAACAAUAGGAUGGUUGACUAUGGAAUCUAAUUAAAAAUAGGUAUAUCAAUAUUUAUUAACUUACAAACAUGAACUAGUAAAUUUCUUGCAUUUGAAGCUAGUUUCCCAUGAACGUUUUCCACUCGAUUCGAUGAAAUGAGAAGCUAAAACUAAAGAAAGAUUUAGCUCUGUCCGUCUUUUAAAUCCCUUAAGUAGUUCAUGCCUGAACAGACAAUUUCUGUAUCAAAUCGUCCUCAACAUUGGUCCAAAAUACAUUUCAGACAGCUCAUCUAUGAAUUUAAACAGUUUCUCAACCACAAGAAUUGAGACCACAACUUUCUCACUAAACUCUAAUCCUGUAUUGGUUCCUUCCUAAAUACUUUAUGCAUUGACCAAAAAACAAUAAGUUUUGGAGGAAAUGGAAGAAUUGGAUUUUCUCUGAAGCAAUCAAGGACUGUAUUUAUUUGCAAACGUAUGUAAUAGCGUCCAGUGUUAUUUGUUUCAGCAAAUAUCUGCCUUCUUUUCUAUAUACCAGUCUUGGAUUAUUUGUUACGCUCAAGAGGACAAUUUGGACUCACUGAUGAAUGUCCACUAAGCUUUGUUCAAUUUAGUUACGAAUACUGCAAAUGUCUAGACAAAGUCAUUUCAUUUAUUCACUAAAUCAGCAUUUCUCUUUAAACCAUUCUAUGUACGUCUCCAACAUUUGGACAACAUCAUAGUUUUUCAUCAAGUCAACACAUUUCAAGCAUGAAUGAUUACAACCGAGUGAAAAUGAAUGACAAAAGCUCCAGGAAAACUGGAGGCAAGUUGAGACAGUCUGAUGUUUAACUUCAAGCACCAACAUAAAUUGUGUACAUCUGCUUCUGACAUACAGAUAUUUAGCAUUUGGGGUGAUGUGACACUUCCAAUUGUUUAUGACAAGGUCGCCCCCCAUUAAUUACUUGCCUGCUUGACUACGCACGGUUCAUAUUUGCAUUAUCAUAGCUAAUCACGCCAUAUGCGAAAUGAUCGGCCUAAUUACCAAAUUUGACUGGGGCGCAAUAUUCCACCCCUGAAACUGAUGUGUAUAAAAAUUGGAGGCCCAGGUGUGCAUUUAAUUACAAAAGUGAAGGGGUUGGGGGAGUACCUAUCUCCCUUGGAUCGAUUCAAGCGUGGCUGGUGUAGUGGGUGGAAUAAUUAGGGUCCCUUCCAGCCCUUUGUUUGCGCGUGCAUGGUAAAAAGUGCAAGAAGAACCACAACUUUUAUUGUUGGUUCAUUAUUGAGGACGAGACCCUUAUUUUACGCUGAACAAACGUGAAAAGCUUAACAUGAAACUCAUCCUACUUUCCUCAGGUAAACUUUAUAAAUCUCUCCAGACAACGAAAAGUCUGUAAUAAGUUCGUCUGUAAUAAAACUUUCAUCUCAUCCUCAAGCUUCAAUGCACCCGUGUUAUGUUUUCCGCUUCUUAUCACGAUAGCGACCUUACCUUUGACUUGUUACCGGAUAGUACUAUUUAUGUUUGAAGACUAUCAAGGAACGUGACGCAAACGGAAAUGGAACAGGUGUGAUAUUGCUUUCCGUGGUUUUGACAUGUAUUAAUGUAUGCUCUUCUGUACAUACAUACAUGCAUUGUAUAUUUACAAUACACAAAUAAAUACACUGAUUUCAUUGAUUUUGUCAUUAGUCAUAUUUGUAUUUGCAAAAUUUUGACUGGUCAUUGUAUUCAUUGAAGGUAAUCUAGAAUGGAAAUGUGGAAUUCGUUACAUUUGGUUUCGAAUUGUCACAUUAGAUUUGAUUUGUUUGAGGUAAUUAUAGGGUAAACAGUAGGAGAACACACAUGUUAGUGGAUGGAUUGAACACACGAUUGAAGCUUAUUACCUUCAUGAAAAUUAGAGCACCAGCCAACACCGCCACACAAAAGUCGGCCGAUUGUGUGGUACUCGAAAUGCCAUAAAAUUUCAAUUGCUGGAAAAAUUGAUGCCUUCCUUAUCUACUUUCAACCAUCACGUUUGUUAUUUGCAAUAAGU